CGGACGGGUGAGUAACGCGUGAGAAUCUGCCUUCAGGUCGGGGAUAACAUGCUGGAAACGGCUGCUAAUACCGGAUGAGCCGAGAGGUAAAAGCAAAAGUGCCUGAAGAUGAGCUCGCGUCUGAUUAGCUAGUUGGUGGGGUAAGAGCCUACCAAGGCGACGAUCAGUAGCUGGUCUGAGAGGAUGAUCAGCCACACUGGGACUGAGACACGGCCCAGACUCCUACGGGAGGCAGCAGUGGGGAAUUUUCCGCAAUGGGCGCAAGCCUGACGGAGCAAUACCGCGUGAGGGAGGAAGGCCCUUGGGUUGUAAACCUCUUUUGUCAGGGAAGAAGGUCUGACGGUACCUGACGAAUCAGCAUCGGCUAACUCCGUGCCAGCAGCCGCGGUAAUACGGAGGAUGCAAGCGUUAUCCGGAUUUAUUGGGCGUAAAGGGUCCGCAGGUGGUUAUUCAAGUCUGCUGUCAAAGCGCGGAGCUUAACUCCGUACAGGCGGUGGAAACUGAGGAACUAGAGUCUGGUAGGGGUCGCGGGAAUUCCCAGUGUAGCGGUGAAAUGCGUAGAUAUUGGGAAGAACACCGGCGGCGAAAGCGCGCGACUGGACCGGAACUGACACUGAGGGACGAAAGCUAGGGGAGCGAAAGGGAUUAGAUACCCCUGUAGUC
This 663-nucleotide ribosomal RNA is filed under the name uncultured cyanobacterium. RNAcentral's name for it is "bacterial SSU rRNA". It matches the Rfam family "Bacterial small subunit ribosomal RNA", at positions 99 to 795 of the family's 1533-position model. The record is from RNAcentral. Lineage: Bacteria; Bacillati; Cyanobacteriota.